UACGUAGGGGGCAAGCGUUAUCCGGAUUUACUGGGUGUAAAGGGAGCGUAGACGGUGUGGCAAGCCAGAUGUGAAAGCCCGGGGCUCAACCCCGGGACUGCAUUUGGAACUGUCAGACUGGAGUGUCGGAGAGGCAGGCGGAAUUCCUAGUGUAGCGGUGAAAUGCGUAGAUAUUAGGAGGAACACCAGUGGCGAAGGCGGCCUGCUGGACGAUGACUGACGUUGAGGCUCGAAGGUGCGGGUAUCGA
RNAcentral lists this ribosomal RNA (248 nucleotides) under uncultured Lachnoclostridium sp. RNAcentral's name for it is "partial 16S ribosomal RNA". It matches the Rfam family "Bacterial small subunit ribosomal RNA", at positions 524 to 771 of the family's 1533-position model. Lineage: Bacteria; Bacillati; Bacillota; Clostridia; Lachnospirales; Lachnospiraceae. The record is from RNAcentral.